UACAGAGGUCUCAAGCGUUGUUCGGAUUCAUUGGGCGUAAAGGGUGCGUAGGCGGCUCGGUAAGUCGGGGGUGAAAUCUCGGAGCUUAACUCCGAAACUGCAUUCGAUACUGCCGUGCUUGAGGACUGGAGAGGAGACUGGAAUUUACGGUGUAGCGGUGAAAUGCGUAGAUAUCGUAAGGAAGACCAGUGGCGAAGGCGGGUCUCUGGACAGUUCCUGACGCUGAGGCACGAAGGUCAGGGGAGCAAACGGG
Molecule: ribosomal RNA, 253 nt
Filed under: uncultured bacterium
Lineage: Bacteria
Description: partial 16S ribosomal RNA
Rfam family: Bacterial small subunit ribosomal RNA
Source: RNAcentral